AAUAUUGGACAAUGGGGGCAACCCUGAUCCAGCCAUGCCUCGUGUGUGAAGAAUGUCUUCGUAUUGUAAAGCACUUUCAUUUGGGAGGAAGGGCUUUAGGCUAAUACCCUGAAGUUUUGACGUUACCAACAGAAUAAGCACCGGCGAACUCUGUGCCAGCAGCCGCGGUAAUACAGAGGGUGCAAGCGUUAAUCGGAAUUACUGGGCGUAAAGCGAGCGUAAGUGGUUCAGUAAGAUGGGUGUGAAAUCACCGGGCUUAACCUGGGAACUGCUUUCAUAACUGCUGAGCUAGAGUACGGUAGAGGGUAGUGGAAUUUCCUGUGUAGCGGUGAAAUGCGUAGAUAUAGGAAGGAAAACCAGUGGCGAAGGCGACUACCUGGACUGAUACCGACACUGAGGUGCGAAAGCGUGGGGAGCAAAC
Molecule: ribosomal RNA, 421 nt
Filed under: uncultured bacterium
Lineage: Bacteria
Description: partial 16S ribosomal RNA
Rfam family: Bacterial small subunit ribosomal RNA
Source: RNAcentral